AGAGUUUGAUCAUGGCUCAGGACGAACGCUGGCGGCGUGCUUAAUACAUGCAAGUCGAACGAGGUCCAUCCGGUGGCAACACCGGUGAAGACCUAGUGGCGAACGGGUGAGUAGCACGUGAGCAACCUGCCCCGAAGACUGGGAUAACACCGGGAAACCGGUGCUAAUACCGGAUGCCCCCAUCGGACCGCAUGGUCCGGUGAGGAAAGGGUUUCUGCUUCGGGAGGGGCUCGCGGCCUAUCAGCUUGAUGGUGAGGUAACGGCUCACCAUGGCGACGACGGGUAGCUGGUCUGAGAGGACGAUCAGCCACACUGGGACUGAGACACGGCCCAGACUCCUACGGGAGGCAGCAGUAGGGAAUCUUGCGCAAUGGGCGAAAGCCUGACGCAGCAACGCCGCGUGAGGGACGAAGGCUUUCUGAGUUGUAAACCUCUUUCAGCAGGGACGAUUGUGACGGUACCUGCAGAAGAAGCACCGGCCAACUACGUGCCAGCAGCCGCGGUGAUACGUAGGGUGCAAGCGUUGUCCGGAUUUAUUGGGCGUAAAGAGCUCGUAGGCGGUUCGAUAAGUCGGGUGUGAAAUCUCCAGGCUCAACCUGGAGUCGCCACUCGAUACUGUCGUGACUCGAGUCCGGUAGGGGACCAUGGAAUUCUUGGUGUAGCGGUGAAAUGCGCAGAUAUCAGGAGGAACACCAGUAGCGAAGGCGGUGGUCUGGGCCGGUACUGACGCUGAGGAGCGAAAGCGUGGGGAGCGAACAGGAUUAGAUACCCUGGUAGUCCACGCCGUAAACGUUGGGCACUAGGUGUGGGGCCUAUUCAACGGGUUCCGUGCCGUAGCUAACGCAUUAAGUGCCCCGCCUG
Molecule: ribosomal RNA, 861 nt
Filed under: uncultured bacterium
Lineage: Bacteria
Description: bacterial SSU rRNA
Rfam family: Bacterial small subunit ribosomal RNA
Source: RNAcentral